Molecule: RNA transcript, 4235 nt
Organism: Apis mellifera (honey bee)
Lineage: Eukaryota; Metazoa; Arthropoda; Insecta; Hymenoptera; Apidae
Exons: 2
Source: RefSeq, a predicted model, not a curated record
CAUGUGGAUCCAGCACGUGGCGAACGAAGAAGAAGAGGUUCCCAGAAGAGGAGUUACGCAGACGGUAGACCGGGUAGAUGUUUCGAACAAGACAGAUCGAAAUAAUAGAAGCUAAUUAACUUACAACUAUCUGUAUUCGCGCGGAAUAUAUUGGUGUUAACUGCCAAUUCAAAUGUGUUUACCGUGUUCGUCUAACGAUAUUCUUAGACCAGACGCCCGAAACACAUUUAUUUUCAAUUAGCGUGUGGGCCUCGUGUCUUUCGCCAGCACGCGAAACGAAGAAGGAGGAGGAGAAGAAGGAGACCCGAUAACGAUACCUCAUAAUCAUAAAAGUGAGCCGAAAUUUACGAGCGCAAAGUAGUCACGUUCCUCACGUUGAAGGAUGAACUUUCAGUAUGUGUCACAUUUUUACCAUUUUUUUUCUUUUAUUUUGUGCUACUAGGAAGCGCAUCGAAUAACAAAAAAACUUCAUUGUUCAAAGAAGUUUUCAUUGGAAAGAAUUGUGAAGCAACUGAUGAUGACAAUAGAAAAAAAAUUGUUCUAUAAUACAAAGAUGCAAAUUUAAAAGAAAAUCGAAAAAUUAAAAUUUGAUUUCUUAUUUGAAAAAUUUUCAAGUUCAACUUCACUGAUGAUUAUCGAUGAAUAAUGAAAUGGUUAUAUAAGCAUGAUAGCCACGAAUUCCCACGUAUUUUUUUCUGAAUUAUUUAGUAAAUGACGCGAUGAAAGAUUCAAAAGAAUGUAAUAGCAUUUAACAAGUGCAAUGUUUUAUUCAAUAUAGCAUAAAAAGAAACAAAAUCAAUGUAAAUAAAAUUUACAAAUAUAUCAAAAAAUCAUCUUCGCUAUCAUUAAUAUUCUUUUCACUUGGUAUACAUUCAACAGAUUGAUCUUUCAUUUUUAAUUACCUCUUCGUUACAUAAAUAAAAAUUUUUAAAAAGAUUGAUUUCUUAUUACUCGAGCAUAUAAAAAAACACAUUCGUAUUUACAUAUAUAGUGGCAGUGAAAACUCCAUUAAUUUUCACAAUCAUCGAUUUAUAAGAAAACGGGUAAAAUCAUCGAUGAAAUUGAGCAACGCUGGAGGAUUAAAAUCCUCUCCGUAUGUAAUGAUAACGGUGCGCGAGAUCGAUCGAGAGACCACCCCGUCGUUGCUCUGCCAACAAAAGGCGGAUCAAGAUCUAGGUUGAUUGAACUGAAUUAACGCGUUAAAGCGCGAGGAAGGAAUGAAGGAAAGGGGGCCGAAGGGAGGGGGCGUGAACGAGCGAUCGAAAACGCAAGGUUCCUGGGGGAUGGGAGGGUUGCUAGGUACGACCGUUCAAGGGGCACAGCUCGCAUAUGGAGAGAAACGUGGUAGUGCACCUGACCCAUAUAACGCCGCGGUAUUGAUCGACCUAAUUCCGUUAAAAGCCGGCCACCACCACCACCACCUCCUCGCCCGCAGAGAUUGCCGGCCGAAAUUACGUAAGCUAACCUACUGACUCACUGCACCCGUUGCCGCGCCACGAACUUUCUUCUUCUCGUAAUUUCCCCCCCUCUUCAACGAUGAUUUUUCCAAAUUUUUAUCAAUAUUUCGAGUUUCGAGAUUAAACUCGAUCUCGAAUUAUUGGAAUAAAUAAUUGUUCGAAAUUCUUUUGGAAUCUUUGAAUUUUGGAAAUAGGUCAUUGGAUCUUUGGAAAUCUUGAAGACGAUACAAUGGAUUAUUGAAUCUUUACAAUUUUGAAAAAUGGACUUUGGAUUUUUAAAAAGAUUGUUAUAAUCGCAUAUUUUUUUUAAUAAAACAUCCAUCAGUAUUCGAGACUUAAAAGGUUGGCAGCGAUUUCAUCCGAUUUCAUUGUUAGAAGCUAUAAAUUCUGCCACGUGGGUGCAAAGAAAAUAGAUAUAACCCCGCUCGGUAUAAUUAGAUGAUCAAGUUACUCGAAGCAUCCAUAUUGCUUCAAACAUUCCAGCACACUGAACAGACGUAUCUAAUAUCUUUGUAUUUAUUUUACCAUUAAUAUUAAUGCAAUCACUCUUUCUCGCAUCCUUUGAACCGUUAUCCAAUAACAUACAUUUCUCGUUCAUAAUUUAUAUAUCUCAUCCAAAAAAACAAUUAUUAUUUUAUACAACGCGAAACAAUUUAUAAUAAAAUUCGUCUAUUUUCAUAAAAGAAACACGAUUCUCUCAAAUUCCUCUAAAAUAAUCGAAACGAGUUAAAUCGUCAAUUUAUAUCAAAUGCUUUCUUCAAAUAUUCCUAGCCGCGAUACGAUAUGGCAGGAAAUCAGGAAACCAUAAAAUCCGCCCACUAAAAUAUUCAUUCGCUGGAACGUUCACUGGAAACCAAUGCCCAUAAACAUCGAAUAAUUUAAUCUCGGCCGUGCUAAAGACCGCGAUCGUGAUCGAAAUUGAUCGUCGAACGAAAAUCGAACGGAAGAUAUUUCGAGCUGGUGAAAUUCACGAAUUAUAAAAAGCGAGCGAUCGAUAGCCGCCUGGAAUAAUUCAAUUCUAUCGAACAACGAAAAGGAUGCUAAUGGGACGCGAAAACAGAACAUACAUAUCGUGAAAACGAAUGAUUUUAAUAAUCUUGAACGCGUUAAGAGCUUCGUUAUUAACAAGGAGAGGGGGGGGAAAAGGAAUUAGUUAUCACUUAUUCACGAAUGUAAUUAAAAGAUAUACUGUGCAAACUGUGAUCAAUUUAAAUUUCUUAUUUAUUUACACGUCUGUUUAGCCUUUCAUGCAUAAAGAUAUCCUAAUAAAGAUAUCUUUUAAAGAAUUGGAAUUGAAGUUAAUAUUUAUCGUUUCGAUAAUUGAAAUUUCAUUAUGAUGAAAUUGAUUGAAAAAUACACUAAUACACCAAAAAAAAAACAACGUACAAACAAAUCACUCAUGUUUCGGUUAAAACAAGUUUGAGGUUAAAUGAGAUAAAUUCUAUCGCGAUGAUAAAACGUUAUUAACCUCGAACUUCAAAAGAGACUGAAGAACACUGAAAUCAAUAUUUCGAUCGCACGAAUUGACGAUGAACGCAGGUUACCGAACAUAACCUUAAACUUGGAAAAGAGGAAAAAUUAAAAUCGAACAUUCGAACCGUAGAAAAUAUUAACGAUCGGUUUAGGCGACCGAUGAAAGAGAUCGAAAGCGUAAUAAGUAGUCACGGAUUCGAAGAAUUGUUUGCAGUUUCGUUACACACCCGAGAGAGAAACACAGUGUUGCACAAUGUACAAAGUUGCAAUCGCCGCAGAGCGGCGGAAUGGUCUCGCGUGCACGAUUGCGUGUGAAAGGCCAAACAGGGCCACCGUUCGUUCUACGAAACGAGGCUACACGGUGAAAGAAGAAGCCGCUCUUACAUCGUUUGUUUUUCCAUGGGCGAAAGCUGCUUCGUUGUAAUUUCGAAAUUUUAUCGUCGCGUCCGACCGUGCAUCAUGAAGUUGCCUCUUGUUAGGAAUAGUUCGAGUGGAAGAAAUUUUCGUGGAUGACGUUACUGUGAAAGGAGAGUGAAGUUGGAUCUAUAGGGAAUUUCGAUAGAGUCACCGAGUAUUUUUGUUGAUUAUAUCGAUGCUACGCUACAUAUACUAUACAACUAACUUCGCUUGGCUCGUUGUAUAUAUAUUUCGUAACACGAAAUGCGGGUAAUAAAACGCAAAAACCGAUUGAGAUUUUCCCUGCUCAAAUUAAUAGCAGCAACGAUCCACUAAACCACAGCCUGGAAGCACACCGUCGGUCGAUCGAGACCGAUCCACGCAUCCAACAAAAGCAAUCGGAGAUUAAAUCCGCUGGAAGGAGCAACUUUGUUCAACCUUCGAGAGGCCAGUCACACCGGUGAUGAAUUUCGCUUUGGCGAGGGAUCCUUGGCCGGCGUGCAAGGUCUUCGCCAAAGCGGGGGCCCGCUUUCGUCAUCGAUACGCCCAUCGUGAUUCGAAAGGCAUCCGAUUUCUCGCGUGUGUGACCUCUCCUUUCACGUGGGGCAGGUCGUGCCAUGGCCAGGUGCAGCCGAAAACACCGGCCGUCUACCUGCGUGCCUUCGCCCUCGGCUACCGGACGUUGCACCUCCUCCUCCUCCUCCUCCUCCUCUCCUCUUCUCUCCACCGCGCCAACUCGUCCUUUGUGAGGAGGAUCUCUUCGUCGAGGCCUCGGUCGUGCACGACUACGCCCAAAGGGGGAAAGGGGGAGGGAAGAAAGGAAAAAAAAAGAAAAGGAGGAGAAGGAAAAGUCGAAGUCUCGGGGUCGUUGCCAUCGUGAAACAGUCGUUCCACCCUUCUGUCGGAGGG